GACGAACGCUGGCGGCGUGCUUAACACAUGCAAGUCGAACGGAAAGGCCCUGCUUUUUUGGGGUGCUCGAGUGGCGAACGGGUGUGUAACACGUGAGUAACCUGCCCUUGACUUUGGGAUAACUUCUGGAGACUGGGGCUAAUACCGGAGAUGAUCUCCUGCCGCAGGGUGGGUGUUGGAAAGUUUCGGCGGUUGGGGAUGGACUCGUGGCUUAUCAGCUUGUUGGUGGGGUAGUGGCUUACCAAGGCUUUGACGGGUAGCCGGCCUGAGAGGGUGACCGGCCACAUUGGGACUGAGAUACGGCACAGACUCCUACGGGAGGCAGCAGUGGGGAAUAUUGCACAAUGGGCGGAAGCCUGAUGCAGCAACGCCGCGUGCGGGAUGACGGCCUUCGGGUUGUAAACCGCUUUCGCCUGUGACGAAGCGUGAGUGACGGUAAUGGGUAAAGAAGCACCGGCUAACUACGUG
This 468-nucleotide ribosomal RNA is filed under the name uncultured bacterium. RNAcentral describes it as "partial 16S ribosomal RNA". It matches the Rfam family "Bacterial small subunit ribosomal RNA", at positions 28 to 507 of the family's 1533-position model. The record is from RNAcentral.